UAAACACCAGUUCCCAUAUGAUCACCAAAGUUAAGCAAUGUUGGUCCUGGUCAGUAACUAAAUGGGUGAUAGCUUGAGAGUAACAGGUGCUGUAU
Molecule: non-coding RNA, 95 nt
Organism: Acanthosepion pharaonis
Lineage: Eukaryota; Metazoa; Mollusca; Cephalopoda; Sepiida; Sepiidae
Source: the annotation of a GenBank genome assembly